AAAUGCGUCAUGACUUUCCCA
This 21-nucleotide microRNA is filed under the name Tupaia belangeri chinensis (Chinese tree shrew). RNAcentral describes it as "Tupaia chinensis (Chinese tree shrew) tch-miR-9771i". Lineage: Eukaryota; Metazoa; Chordata; Mammalia; Scandentia; Tupaiidae. The record is from miRBase by way of RNAcentral.